RNAcentral lists this microRNA precursor (119 nucleotides) under Marmota monax (woodchuck). The record is from RNAcentral. Lineage: Eukaryota; Metazoa; Chordata; Mammalia; Rodentia; Sciuridae.
UAGAGGGAUCAGUUGCACUGGUUUGCCUGGGACUGAGGGGUUUCUGAGAUACAGAACUUUCAGUUGUACGUCCAGGAAAGUCCCAGGUAAACCUGGAGGAUUGGUUACCUUACAAAGUC